UACAGAGGGUGCAAGCGUUAAUCGGAAUUACUGAGCGUAAAGCGUGCGCAGACGGUUGCGUAAGUCAGAUGUGAAAGCCCCGGGCUCAACCUGGGAAUUGCAUUUGAGACUGCGUAGCUAGGGUGCGGAAGAGGGAAGCGGAAUUUCCGGUGUAGCGGUGAAAUGCGUAGAUAUCGGAAGGAACACCAGUGGCGAAAGCGGCUUCCUGGUCCAGCACCGACGUUCAGGCACGAAAGCGUGGGGAGCAAACAGG
RNAcentral lists this ribosomal RNA (253 nucleotides) under uncultured bacterium. RNAcentral's name for it is "partial 16S ribosomal RNA". It matches the Rfam family "Bacterial small subunit ribosomal RNA", at positions 524 to 776 of the family's 1533-position model. The record is from RNAcentral.